RNAcentral lists this ribosomal RNA (477 nucleotides) under uncultured bacterium. RNAcentral's name for it is "partial 16S ribosomal RNA". It matches the Rfam family "Bacterial small subunit ribosomal RNA", at positions 28 to 507 of the family's 1533-position model. The record is from RNAcentral.
GAUUAACGCUGGCGGCGUGCCUAACACAUGCAAGUCGAACGAUGAAACUUAGUAGACUUCUUCGGAAAGACACUAAGCGGAUUAGUGGCGAACGGGUGAGUAACGCGUGAGUAACCUGCCUUACACAAGGGGAUAGCCUUUGGAAACGAAGAAUAAUACCCUAUAAAACUAUAAAAGCACAUGCUAGAAUGGUCAAAGUGCUAGCGGUGUAAGAUGGACUUGCGUCUGAUUAGCUAGUUGGUGAGAUAAAAGCUCACCAAGGCAACGAUCAGUAGCCGGCUUGAGAGAGUGUACGGCCACAUUGGGACUGAGACACGGCCCAGACUCCUACGGGAGGCAGCAGUGGGGAAUUUUGCACAAUGGGGGAAACCCUGAUGCAGCGACGCCGCGUGAUUUAGAAGGCCUUCGGGUUGUAAAAAUCUUUUGUAUAGGAAGAAAAUGACAGUACUAUACGAAUAAGGUCCGGCUAAUUACGUG